UAAUCUACCCUCGAGUGGGGAAUAACCUAGGGAAACCUGGGCUAAUACCGCAUAACACUUACGAGUCAAAGCAGCAAUGCGCUUGGGGAGGAGGUCGCGGCAGAUUAGCUAGUUGGUGGGGUAAUGGCCUACCAAGGCGAUGAUCUGUAUCCGGCCUGAGAGGGCGCACGGACACACUGGAACUGAAACACGGUCCAGACUCCUACGGGAGGCAGCAGUGGGGAAUUUUGGGCAAUGGGGGAAACCCUGACGCAG
This 255-nucleotide ribosomal RNA is filed under the name uncultured Acidobacteriota bacterium. RNAcentral describes it as "uncultured Acidobacteria bacterium partial 16S ribosomal RNA". It matches the Rfam family "Bacterial small subunit ribosomal RNA", at positions 122 to 391 of the family's 1533-position model. The record is from RNAcentral. Lineage: Bacteria; Pseudomonadati; Acidobacteriota.